This 165-nucleotide ribosomal RNA is filed under the name Allium sergii. Its description in RNAcentral is "5.8S ribosomal RNA". It matches the Rfam family "5.8S ribosomal RNA". Rfam says of the family: 5.8S ribosomal RNA (5.8S rRNA) is a component of the large subunit of the eukaryotic ribosome. It is transcribed by RNA polymerase I as part of the 45S precursor that also contains 18S and 28S rRNA. The record is from RNAcentral. Lineage: Eukaryota; Viridiplantae; Streptophyta; Magnoliopsida; Asparagales; Amaryllidaceae.
UGAAUGACUCUCGACAAUGGAUAUCCUGGCUCUCGUGUUGAUGAAGAACGUAGCGAAAUGCGGCAUUUGGUGUGAAUUGCAGAAUCCCGUGAACCAUCUAGUCUUUGAAUGCAAGUUGCGCUCCGAGACCANNGGGUCGAGGGCACGNANGUUUGGGUGUCUUUC